Molecule: long non-coding RNA, 3510 nt
Organism: Panonychus citri (citrus red mite)
Lineage: Eukaryota; Metazoa; Arthropoda; Arachnida; Trombidiformes; Tetranychidae
Exons: 5
Source: RefSeq, a predicted model, not a curated record
AUUCUUAUUCGUUAAUUUUUUAAUUGAUUGUUUCCAAAUUUAUUCUAAAUUCUAUUAAUCAUCUUGAUAAGUUCAUCUUUCUUUUGUUCAUUCUUCCUUCCGGUUCCUUUUCAUUUUCUUCUCUCGAUUAAGUUUCAAACUUGUUGAUAUGAUUUCGUUUUGAUAGAAAAUUUUUUUCUUCACUAAUCUUGUUUAUCUUUUUUUUUAUUAAUUCUUUUCUUUUUGAAUUGGUGACAAUGGAAAGAUGAAUGAUUUAUUUUUUACUUCUCUUCCUCAUCAUCUACUACUAUUCUUGUUGAUGGUAAUUGUUGUUUUAUAUCAACAAUUAGGGUAACCAUGUUAACCAAGUUUUUCUUUCUUAAUCAUAUUAAUCAUACGUUAAUUUGUCUCCAACAGAAAAACAAAAUGAAAAAUGUAUCAAGACCUUCAUGUGUGGUGGUUAUUGUGCUUUCAUGUAAUUUUCAUCAUUUAAUCAUCAUCAACAUGAUGAUUACCCUGGACGAUGAUGGUUUUCAUUGGGAAAAAAAAACAAAACGGUCAAAACUUGCCGUUAGUUAACCUGUUGCUUUUUAUAUUGUUUACAUCAUAAUCUGUCUUCAUCAUCACCAUUAUCACCAUCAACAUUAAGCUUCAUCCUCCUACUUAUUAAACCAACAACUUCAUUACCAUCAACAUAAACAGCAAUGAAAGUCAAUCUCUAAUGAUGGUUAACUAACAACAAUUAAGUUGACAAUUUGUUUCCCAAGCCUUUUUUUUUAAUAUCUUCAUUAUGUAAACAACAACAACAACAAGACAAACGCUGGUGAUUAUGAUUAAGCCCAACAAUUUGUUGAUAAUCUCAUUAAUCUCAUUAACCAUCUAAUUUGUAUAUUCAUACAACAGUUAACAACUAUUAAUAUUAACUACUAACAAUCAACGGCCAAUGACAUUUUUAACUGCUCAUUUAGAUAAGGUUAAUCACCAGUCAGGUCAUAUGUUAGUUUGGUAUAACUGGAUAUGUGAGAUGAUGAUUAUUAUAAGAUUAUAAUCAUGGAAAACGAUAAACUCAUCGGUCAUCAGAUUAUCCCCCAAAAUCCAAGUAAAGGAUCAACAACAAGGAUAAAGAAAAGUGCAAAUCAGAUCAACAAGUGUCCGGAUUUAAAGCAUCCUAACCAAUCCCUUUUUUUUGGAUUCUCAAUGAAAAGAGAAACUGUGAUGAUGAUGCUGAUAAAAUAAUCGAUAAUUUAACUUCUUAACGUCAAAUGUGUAAUGCUUCUCAUUUACUAUUUGAUUAUCUUUAUCAUCCAUCGUUCAUUCAUCUAAAUGAAAUAAUGAUGAAUGAGAAUCAAGGUGCAAGAAGGAGCAGAAAAAAAGAAGAGAGAAAAAAAGAAACAUUCAAAGAAGGAUUAAAGUGAAAGGUGACAACAAUAUUUACCGAUAAUAAUGAUGACUGGAUAUUUUCUGUAUUCACCUUAUAUUAUAUUGCGAUUCAAUGGCUUUUGUUGUGUUUCUCCUGCUGUUUAUUGCUACUUCUUCUCUCUCUCUCUCUGGUACCAAACCGUAUAAUGGAUUCAUAUUGUGCUGACUGUACAUUCCAAUGGUGUAAAUGUUGUAUAGUAAAAAAAAACUACGUCGACCUGGAAGCGACCUUAGGCCUCAAGGUCUUAACCUGAUGAAGGAAAAAUGAUGAUUAUGAUAAGCAUAAGGUUCAUCAUCAUCAUCAAUAGACAUUUAAUCAAAUCACUGUCUUCUCAUCAUCAUUAUUAUCUUCAUCUUUUAUCUUCUUUAUGUGUCAUCAUCUUUUUUUUACCUUCAUCUACAUUCAAAUGUUUCUCUAUCAUCCCUUAUGGCCUCAUCAUCUUCAUCAUCAUCUUAAUCUUGAAACUAAUUCAUUUAGCUUAUCAUCAUCCGGCUUCAUCAUAAUCACAUAAUCAUCUUCAUCAUCAUCAUUGGUUUUGAUAACAAUACUUAUUAUUCAGCCAUUUUGUUUACUCUUUACAAUGUUGUUGUUGUUUUUUUUUCUUGAUUGUGGUUUUGUUUUUUAUUAUUAUUAUGUUGAUUAACUUUUUUCUGAUUGUAUUUAAAUAAUUGUUGCUAUUAUUGUAUUACUGGCAUAUUGUGUUUGUUUAUUUAAUGACAAUCACUUGCUAGUAAUCAUAAUAGUUAAUAUAUGAUGAUGAUGAUAAUUACAUUUCAACAAUGGUGGUCAAAAGUAAUUUAAUUUACAUUCACAACCAUGAUGAUGUUUAACUUGAAUGUUUUUAUUAGUUACAAUGUAACAAUUAACUAAUUAUUACAAACACUAUUGGAUUAAUAAUUUUUUAAAACUCUUUUAACCAAAUUUAACUAAAUUGUUGUUAUCCACUAGUCAUCAUUAAAAAUUGAUUAUAUCAAUUACGAUCCAUCUAAUUGUGAUCAUACACUCAGUUAAUCAACAACAAAAAAAAAAGGUAACAAUAAAUGAUGGAUUUGCUGUUGUUAGUUAAUCAACUAAUCAAAUCAUCUCAUCAAUCAUUUUCCCAACUCAUUAAACUUUUCAAUAUCUAAUUUACAAUCAAUAAUAAUCAAAUCAUCAUCAUCAUCAUCAUCAUUAUCAACAACAACAACUUAAUUAAAAACUCUUAAUAUAAAUCACAAUCAAAUAGUAAAAAAAAACAACAACAACAAAAUAAUUUAAUGACUUUAUCUUAAUCAAGAUGAUCAUGAAUUUGUGAUUAUUCAAAUGAUCAUAAUCAUUCAAUUACAGAACAAUAAUUAAGUGAUUACGAUGAGAAAUUGAAACAUUGAAUUUGAAUCAAUGGCAAGAGAGAAACUUUUAAGAUCAAUAUCAAGAUGAAAAGAACAACAAAGAUGACGAAAGGUAAAGGAGGAUCUCUAACAGCCUCUCUGCCCCGCCCUUUAUACAGAAACGAUUAUGUUGUAACAUAAACAUGUAUCCGGCUCAAUAUCCGUAAGAAGAAGAUGAUAAAUCCCAUUUAUAUUUAAUAACAACGGUAAAAGUACAUUCGGCGCGUGGGAUCAUCAUCAUAAGAUUAAUACCUUUGAUGAUGAUCAUCAUCAUCUAAAGGUACACCUUGAUUCUUAUAUGAAAUGUAAAGAAAACAGGUAGAUGGACAAAAGUACGAUUGAUUCAUCGAUUCAGAUCAUGUUCGAAAUUAGUUGGUCAAUCCUGUCAUCUCAAGCAUUGAAUCUUGUCGGCCAAUUGCACGACUGAUAUUUGGAAAACUGGUCAAUCGUUGUUGUUUAUUGUCGAUGGUGUUGAUGAUGAUUGACCAAUGAUCUUUGUCUCAAUCGUAACGAUUUCAGAAUUGAUCAGAUAAAAGUCUCAACUCGGACAACUCAAUACCCUUCAGUAGCUAUGAAUAUUAACCACAGCCUCAGGGCAUCGUAUCCCUAAGCUGCUAUCAGCUAAUGUUAUUGGUAUUAACAAAAAAAAAAUGCUCUUUUAAAUUAGUAUAUUAAUAAUCUGAUAAUCUAAUUGUUUGUUAUCUGAUGGUCAAUUUAAUUAAUAGAAAAUAUUUCCAUGUCUAA